This 590-nucleotide ribosomal RNA is filed under the name Acremonium sp. RNAcentral's name for it is "partial large subunit ribosomal RNA". It matches the Rfam family "Eukaryotic large subunit ribosomal RNA", at positions 51 to 662 of the family's 3401-position model. The record is from RNAcentral. Lineage: Eukaryota; Fungi; Ascomycota; Sordariomycetes; Hypocreales; Bionectriaceae.
CGGAGGAAAAAGGAAACCAACAGGGAUUGCCCUAGUAACGGCGAGUGAAGCGGCAACAGCUCAAAUUUGAAAUCUGGCCCUCGCGGUCCGAGUUGUAAUUUGCAGAGGAUGCUUUGGGCGCGGUGCCUUCCGAGUUCCCUGGAACGGGACGCCAUAGAGGGUGAGAGCCCCGUCUGGUUGGAUACCAAGCCUGUGUAAAGCUCCUUCGACGAGUCGAGUAGUUUGGGAAUGCUGCUCUAAAUGGGAGGUACAUGCCUUCUAAAGCUAAAUAUUGGCCAGAGACCGAUAGCGCACAAGUAGAGUGAUCGAAAGAUGAAAAGCACUUUGAAAAGAGGGUUAAAUAGUACGUGAAAUUGUUGAAAGGGAAGCGCUUAUGACCAGACUUGGGCUUGGUUGAUCAUCCGGCGUUCUCGCCGGUGCACUCUGCCGGUCCAGGCCAGCAUCAGCUCGCCGCGGGGGAUAAAGGCUUCGGGAAUGUGGCUCCCUCGGGAGUGUUAUAGACCGUUGCGUAAUACCCUGCGGUGGGCUGAGGUUCGCGCAUCUGCUCGGAUGCUGGCGUAAUGGUCAUCAGCGAACCCGUCUUGAAACAC